Molecule: non-coding RNA, 69 nt
Organism: Hemicordylus capensis (graceful crag lizard)
Lineage: Eukaryota; Metazoa; Chordata; Lepidosauria; Squamata; Cordylidae
Source: the annotation of a RefSeq genome assembly
GCCAUAGCUCAGUGGCAGAGCAUCUGCUUGGCAUGCAGAAGGUCCCAGGUCCGAUCCCUGGUAUCUCCA